RNAcentral lists this ribosomal RNA (492 nucleotides) under uncultured bacterium. RNAcentral's name for it is "partial 16S ribosomal RNA". It matches the Rfam family "Bacterial small subunit ribosomal RNA", at positions 28 to 507 of the family's 1533-position model. The record is from RNAcentral.
GAUGAACGCUAGCUACAGGCUUAACACAUGCAAGUCGAGGGGAAACGACAUCGCAAGCCUGCUUUUGAUGGGCGUCGACCGGCGCACGGGUGAGUAACGCGUAUCCAACCUGCCCAUCACUUGGGAAUAACCUUGCGAAAGUAAGACUAAUACCCAAUGACAUCCCACGAAGACAUCUGAAUGGGAUUAAAGAUUUAUCGGUGAUGGAUGGGGAUGCGUCUGAUUAGCUUGUUGGCGGGGUAACGGCCCACCAAGGCAACGAUCAGUAGGGGUUCUGAGAGGAAGGUCCCCCACAUUGGAACUGAGACACGGUCCAAACUCCUACGGGAGGCAGCAGUGAGGAAUAUUGGUCAAUGGGCGAGAGCCUGAACCAGCCAAGUAGCGUGCAGGAUGACGGCCCUAUGGGUUGUAAACUGCUUUUAUAAGGGAAUAAAGUGGGUCUCGUGAGACUUUUUGCAUGUACCUUAUGAAUAAGGACCGGCUAAUUCCGUG